This 288-nucleotide ribosomal RNA is filed under the name uncultured Blastochloris sp. RNAcentral's name for it is "partial 16S ribosomal RNA". It matches the Rfam family "Bacterial small subunit ribosomal RNA", at positions 29 to 334 of the family's 1533-position model. Lineage: Bacteria; Pseudomonadati; Pseudomonadota; Alphaproteobacteria; Hyphomicrobiales; Blastochloridaceae. The record is from RNAcentral.
AACGAACGCUGGCGGCAGGCCUAAUACAUGCAAGUCGAGCGAGAAGCCACCUUCGGGUGGUGGGCAGCGGCGGACGGGUGAGUAACGCGUGGGAAGAUACCCAAAGGUACGGAACAACCACUGGAAACGGUGGCUAUUACCGUAUGUGCCCUAAGGGGGAAAGAUUUAUUGCCUUUGGAUUUGCCCGCGUAUGAUUAGAUAGUUGGUAGAGUAAUGGCCUACCAAGUCAACGAUCAUUAGCUGGUCUGAGAGGAUGAUCAGCCACACUGGGACUGAGACACGGCCCAG